This 37-nucleotide transfer RNA is filed under the name Gentiana algida. Its description in RNAcentral is "partial tRNA-His". The record is from RNAcentral. RNAcentral also lists the same sequence under 27 other names. Lineage: Eukaryota; Viridiplantae; Streptophyta; Magnoliopsida; Gentianales; Gentianaceae.
CGGAUGUAGCCAAGUGGAUUAAGGCAGUGGAUUGUGA